Long non-coding RNA from Sinocyclocheilus rhinocerous, 115 nucleotides. RefSeq lists it as uncharacterized. Lineage: Eukaryota; Metazoa; Chordata; Actinopteri; Cypriniformes; Cyprinidae. The transcript is spliced from 3 exons. The record is from RefSeq and is a predicted model, not a curated record.
AGAACAUCUUUGGAAUUCAUCACUCUUCAAACCAGGAGGAACGUGAUCGCAAGUCCAAAACCUUAAAACCAUCAAGACUUUCAUCCGAGACUGCAUCCAGACAUUCGCCAAAGAC